Molecule: ribosomal RNA, 468 nt
Filed under: uncultured bacterium
Lineage: Bacteria
Description: partial 16S ribosomal RNA
Rfam family: Bacterial small subunit ribosomal RNA
Source: RNAcentral
GACGAACGCUGGCGGCGUGCUUAACACAUGCAAGUCGAACGGAAAGGCCCUGCUUUUGUGGGGUGCUCGAGUGGCGAACGGGUGAGUAACACGUGAGUAACCUGCCCUUGACUUUGGGAUAACUUCAGGAAACUGGGGCUAAUACCGGAUAGGAGCUCCUGCUGCAUGGUGGGGGUUGGAAAGUUUCGGCGGUUGGGGAUGGACUCGCGGCUUAUCAGCUUGUUGGUGGGGUAGUGGCUUACCAAGGCUUUGACGGGUAGCCGGCCUGAGCGGGUGACCGGCCACAUGGGGACUGAGAUACGGCCCAGACUCCUACGGGAGGCAGCAGUGGGGAAUAUUGCACAAUGGGCGGAAGCCUGAUGCAGCAACGCCGCGUGCGGGAUGACGGCCUUCGGGUUGUAAACCGCUUUCGCCUGUGACGAAGCGUGAGUGACGGUAAUGGGUAAAGAAGCACCGGCUAACUACGUG